UCGGGAAUUUUGGGCAAUGGGCGAAAGCCUGACCCAGCAACGCCGCGUGAAGGAUGAAGUAUUUCGGUAUGUAAACUUCGAAAGAAUAGGAAGAAUAAAUGACGGUACUAUUUAUAAGGUCCGGCUAACUACGUGCCAGCAGCCGCGGUAAUACGUAGGGACCAAGCGUUGUUCGGAUUUACUGGGCGUAAAGGGCGCGUAGGCGGCAAUUCAAGUCAUCUGUGAAAUCUCCGGGCUUAACUCGGAACGGUCAGAUGAUACUGCUUUGCUAGAGUGCAGAAGGGGCAAUCGGAAUUCUUGGUGUAGCGGUGAAAUGCGUAGAUAUCAAGAGGAACACCUGAGGUGAAGACGGGUUGCUGGGCUGACACUGACGCUGAGUGAGCGAAAGCCAGGGGAGCAAACGGGAUUAGAUACCCUGGUAGUCCCUGAGCGGGCUGGCAAGGCGCAU
This 448-nucleotide ribosomal RNA is filed under the name uncultured bacterium. Its description in RNAcentral is "bacterial SSU rRNA". It matches the Rfam family "Bacterial small subunit ribosomal RNA", at positions 355 to 825 of the family's 1533-position model. The record is from RNAcentral.